AACGAACGCUGGCGGCAUGCCUAACACAUGCAAGUCGAACGAGACCUUCGGGUCUAGUGGCGCACGGGUGCGUAACGCGUGGGAACCUGCCUUUAGGUUCGGAAUAACGCCUCGAAAGGGGUGCUAGUACCGGAUAAUGUCUUCGGACCAAAGAUUUACCGCCUUUAGAUGGGCCCGCGUUGGAUUAGCUAGUUGGUGGG
Molecule: ribosomal RNA, 200 nt
Filed under: uncultured bacterium
Lineage: Bacteria
Description: partial 16S ribosomal RNA
Rfam family: Bacterial small subunit ribosomal RNA
Source: RNAcentral